RNAcentral lists this unclassified non-coding RNA (221 nucleotides) under Hevea brasiliensis (rubber tree). The record is from RNAcentral. Lineage: Eukaryota; Viridiplantae; Streptophyta; Magnoliopsida; Malpighiales; Euphorbiaceae.
GUUUUGUGCUAUUGGUGUAGGUUACGUUAAUUCUAACUCAUAUUAUACUCGUUGAUUUACUGUUAUUUUAUAAUUAGGAUAAAAAUAUUAUGGCUUAUUAUGUGUAGGAUCAAACGCUUACCACCAUACCAAAAGUUUAAACUUUUGACAAAGGUGCAACUCUAAUCCCUUAUAUUGUAGCAAACCAAGCACCAUGGGUUGAAGACAUCAUGGCAGAAUGC